RNAcentral lists this ribosomal RNA (388 nucleotides) under uncultured Thermoplasmata archaeon. Its description in RNAcentral is "bacterial SSU rRNA". It matches the Rfam family "Archaeal small subunit ribosomal RNA", at positions 954 to 1338 of the family's 1478-position model. The record is from RNAcentral. Lineage: Archaea; Methanobacteriati; Thermoplasmatota; Thermoplasmata.
UCGGGCUGAAGACUCUACUUGACUAGCUGAGAGGAGGUGCAUGGCCGCCGUCAGUUCGUACCGUGAGGCGUCCUGUUAAGUCAGGCAACGAACGAGACCCCUUGCAUCUAGUUGCCAGCAGAUCCCUUCGGGAUGCUGGGUACCCUAGAUGGACCGCCACUGCUAAAGUGGAGGAAGGAGAGGGCGACGGUAGGUCAGUAUGCCCCCGAAUCUCCCGGGCUACACGCGGCCUACAAUGGACAGGACAAUGGGCUCCGAUCCCGAAAGGGAAAGGCAAUCCUUUAAACCUGUUCUUAGUUCGGAUUGAGGGCUGUAACUCGCCCUCAUGAAGCUGGAAUCUCUAGUAAUCGCGUGUCAUUAUCGCGCGGUGAAUACGUCCCUGCUCCUU